UCCUAUAAUCAGUAUCAUGGCCUUUGUAUACAACAAAAUUGAUUGGAACUCCUAGACUAGAAAUAUAAUUCAAGAUUUAAAUAAGGCACUGGUCAUAGUUUUAGAAAGUGUGGCUAGCAUUCUGAAGGAAGACAGAGAGAUGGAAAGACAUCAAAGAAUGGGCAGGUCUGCCAAGAAAUGGUUUAUCCAGGGCUAAGUACAGAGAGGAAUAUAGAAGGGCUGUUGACAGAUCUUGUGUGGUGCCCCCAUGGUUCAACAGACUAAUUGAUUGAAAAUAAUACCAGGGUUAUGCUCCUUUGACCAUUGAGUUCCAGGAUGAAGAAUGAAAGACAGAGAGCAAUGUGAAGACAUGAAAGAAUGGGCAGGUCUGCCAUGAAAUGGUUUAUCCAGGGCUAAGUACAGAGAGGAAUAUAGAAGGGCUGUUGACAGAUCUUGUGUGGUGCCCCCAUGGUUCAACAGACUGAUUGAUA
Molecule: long non-coding RNA, 470 nt
Organism: Biomphalaria glabrata
Lineage: Eukaryota; Metazoa; Mollusca; Gastropoda; Planorbidae
Exons: 3
Source: RefSeq, a predicted model, not a curated record